GACGGAAGGUGCAAGCGUUGCUCGGAAUCACUGGGCGUAAAGGGUGCGUAGGCGGCUUGGUAAGUCGGGUGUGAAAUCCCCGGGCUCAACCUGGGAAUUGCAUUCGAUACUGGAUAGCUAGAGUUCGGCAGAGGGAAGCGGAAUUUCCGGUGUAGCGGUGAAAUGCGUAGAUAUCGGAAGGAACAUCAGUGGCGAAAGCGGCUUCCUGGGCCAGAACUGACGAUGAGGCUCGAAAGCGUGGGGAGCGAACAGG
Molecule: ribosomal RNA, 253 nt
Filed under: uncultured bacterium
Lineage: Bacteria
Description: partial 16S ribosomal RNA
Rfam family: Bacterial small subunit ribosomal RNA
Source: RNAcentral